This is a non-coding RNA of Aedes aegypti (yellow fever mosquito), 87 nucleotides long. NCBI's taxonomy places the organism in Eukaryota, Metazoa, Arthropoda, Insecta, Diptera, Culicidae. The record is from Rfam.
GUCAUGGGGGACCGCCGCUACCUCGCUUUCACUUGGUACCGAUUUCCCAUAAUCCAUGUGAUGUGACGUAGUGGUACCUUCCCUUGG